UACGUAGGGUGCGAGCGUUGUCCGGAAUUACUGGGCGUAAAGAGCUCGUAGGUGGUUUGUCGCGUUGUCCGUGAAAACUCACAACUCAAUUGUGGGCGUGCGGGCGAUACGGGCAGACUGGAGUACUGCAGGGGAGACUGGAAUUCCUGGUGUAGCGGUGGAAUGCGCAGAUAUCAGGAGGAACACCGGUGGCGAAGGCGGGUCUCUGGGCAGUAACUGACGCUGAGGAGCGAAAGCGUGGGGAGCAAAAGGG
Molecule: ribosomal RNA, 253 nt
Filed under: uncultured bacterium
Lineage: Bacteria
Description: partial 16S ribosomal RNA
Rfam family: Bacterial small subunit ribosomal RNA
Source: RNAcentral